UUAACGAGGUGUAUUGCAUUUUGCAUUUUGGUUGCGAGGGGGGCUAGUUGCCCGUUAAAU
This 60-nucleotide transfer RNA is filed under the name Pseudanoplocephala crawfordi. Its description in RNAcentral is "tRNA-Gln". Lineage: Eukaryota; Metazoa; Platyhelminthes; Cestoda; Cyclophyllidea; Hymenolepididae. The record is from RNAcentral.